This 71-nucleotide transfer RNA is filed under the name Candidatus Terrybacteria bacterium RIFCSPHIGHO2_01_FULL_43_35. RNAcentral describes it as "tRNA-Gln". It matches the Rfam family "tRNA". Rfam says of the family: Transfer RNA (tRNA) molecules are approximately 80 nucleotides in length. Their secondary structure includes four short double-helical elements and three loops (D, anti-codon, and T loops). Lineage: Bacteria; Candidatus Terryibacteriota. The record is from RNAcentral. RNAcentral also lists the same sequence under 2 other names.
UGCGGGAUCGUCUAACGGUAGGACAGCAGCCUUUGGAGCUGAAUAUCUUGGUUCGAAUCCAAGCCCCGCAG